This 503-nucleotide ribosomal RNA is filed under the name Alkalibacterium sp. M13-C33. RNAcentral describes it as "bacterial SSU rRNA". It matches the Rfam family "Bacterial small subunit ribosomal RNA", at positions 1 to 491 of the family's 1533-position model. The record is from RNAcentral. Lineage: Bacteria; Bacillati; Bacillota; Bacilli; Lactobacillales; Carnobacteriaceae.
UGAGCUUGAUCCUGGCUCAGGACGAACGCUGGCGGUAUGCCUAAUACAUGCAAGUCGAACGCUGAAGCACUCUGCUUGCAGAGUGUGGAUGAGUGGCGAACGGGUGAGUAACACGUGGGUAACCUGCCCAUAAGAGGGGGAUAACAUCCGGAAACGGGUGCUAAUACCGCAUAGGUGAACGGAGCGCAUGCUCUGUUCAUUAAAGAUGGCCUUGUGCUAUCGCUUAUGGAUGGACCCGCGGCGUAUUAGCUAGUUGGUGAGGUAAUGGCUCACCAAGGCGAUGAUACGUAGCCGACCUGAGAGGGUGAUCGGCCACACUGGGACUGAGACACGGCCCAGACUCCUACGGGAGGCAGCAGUAGGGAAUCUUCCACAAUGGGCGAAAGCCUGAUGGAGCAAUACCGCGUGAGUGAAGAAGGUCUUCGGAUCGUAAAGCUCUGUUGUUAGAGAAGAACACGCAGAACAGUAACUGGUUCUGCGCUGACGGUAUCUAACCGAAGACG